This 649-nucleotide ribosomal RNA is filed under the name uncultured bacterium. RNAcentral describes it as "bacterial SSU rRNA". It matches the Rfam family "Bacterial small subunit ribosomal RNA", at positions 8 to 632 of the family's 1533-position model. The record is from RNAcentral.
AGAGUUUGAUCCUGGCUCAGAACGAACGCUGGCGGCGUGCCUAACACAUGCAAGUCGAGCGAGAACGCCUGCUUCGGCAGGUUAGUAAAGCGGCGAACGGGUGAGUAACACGUGAGUCACCUACCCCCCAGUAGGGGAUAACACUUCGAAAGGGGUGCUAAUACCGUCUACGGUCCCGACCGCUCCUGCGGAUGGGACGAAAGGUGGCCUCUCUAUAGAAGCUGCCGCUGGGGGAUGGGCUCGCGUCCCAUUAGCUAGUUGGUAGGGUAACGGCCUACCAAGGCAAUGAUGGGUAGCUGGUCUGAGAGGACGAUCAGCCACACUGGAACUGAGACACGGUCCAGACUCCUACGGGAGGCAGCAGUGGGGAAUAUUGCACAAUGGGGGAAACCCUGAUGCAGCAACGCCGCGUGCGGGAUGAAGGCCUUCGGGUUGUAAACCGCUGUCAGGGGGGAAGAAAUCGCUCCGGUGAAUAGCCGGAGUGGAUGACGGUACCCCCAGAGGAAGCCCCGGCUAACUCCGUGCCAGCAGCCGCGGUAAGACGGAGGGGGCAAGCGUUGUUCGGAAUCAUUGGGCGUAAAGCGCGCGUAGGCGGUCGGGUAAGUCGGACGUGAAAGCCCAGGGCUCAACCCUGGAAGUGCGUUCGAUA